RNAcentral lists this ribosomal RNA (479 nucleotides) under uncultured bacterium. Its description in RNAcentral is "bacterial SSU rRNA". It matches the Rfam family "Bacterial small subunit ribosomal RNA", at positions 28 to 487 of the family's 1533-position model. The record is from RNAcentral.
GACGAACGCUGGCGGCGUGCUUAACACAUGCAAGUCGAGCGGUAAGGCCCUUUCGGGGGUACACGAGCGGCGAACGGGUGAGUAACGCGUGAAGAACCUGCCUUCAACAGGGGGAUAACACUCCCAACGGGGUGCUAAUACCGCAUGAGACCACGGGUCCACCUGGACCAGGGGUCAAAGGUGGCCUCUGCUUGCAAGCUACCGGUUGAAGAUGGCUUCGCGUCCCAUUAGCUAGUUGGCGGUGAACGGACCACCAAGGCGACGAUGGGUAGCUGGUCUGAGAGGAUGGUCAGCCACACUGGGACUGAGAUACGGCCCAGACUCCUACGGGAGGCAGCAGUCGAGAGGCUUUGGCAAUGGGGGAAACCCUGACCAAGCGACGCCGCGUGGAGGAUGAAGGCCCUUGGGUUGUAAACUCCUUUUGCUGGGGAAGAAACGCGAUCAGGUGAACAUCUGGUCGUUUGACGGUACCGGCGAAU